GAUGAAGAACGCAGCGAAAUGCGAUAAGUAAUGUGAAUUGCAGAAUUCAGUGAAUCAUCGAAUCUUUGAACGCACAUUGCGCCCCUUGGUAUUCCGAGGGGCAUGCCUGUUCGAGCGCCAUUAUAACCCCUCAAGCUUAGCUUGGUGUUGGGGCCUGCUGUAAUAGAGCAGCCCUUAAAAUCAGUGGCGGUGCCAUUAGGCUCUAAGCGUAGUAAUUCUUCUCGCUAUAGGGUUCUGGUGGAUGCUUGCCAUUAACCUCUAAUUUUCUAUGGUUGACCUCGGAUCAGGUAGGGAUACCCGCUGAACUUAAGCAUAUCAAUAAGCGGAGGA
RNAcentral lists this unclassified non-coding RNA (330 nucleotides) under soil metagenome. RNAcentral describes it as "partial contains 5.8S ribosomal RNA, internal transcribed spacer 2, and large subunit ribosomal RNA". The stretch from base 1 to 120 matches the Rfam family "5.8S ribosomal RNA", at positions 35 to 154 of the family's 154-position model. The record is from RNAcentral.